GGUCUCACAAGGUCAAGAUGAAGCUGUGCGCAAUUGUCCUCGUAUUCAGCUCGCUGCUGUACUUGAAAAGUGGCACAACGUCAGCGAGCACCGACAUCGUUGGAGACGCCCAAGACGCAUUCGAGCAAGAACUUUUGAAGACCCUUGAAGUCCCUGAUCGCUGUUCCCAGAAAGCUGCAGCGCGUGUCAUGAACGGGUGUUUGAAGGAGGUUGGGGAUGACACCGCAUUGGA
This is a long non-coding RNA of Ornithodoros turicata, 232 nucleotides long. RefSeq lists it as uncharacterized. The transcript has 3 exons. Lineage: Eukaryota; Metazoa; Arthropoda; Arachnida; Ixodida; Argasidae. The record is from RefSeq and is a predicted model, not a curated record.